Molecule: long non-coding RNA, 459 nt
Filed under: Sus scrofa (pig)
Lineage: Eukaryota; Metazoa; Chordata; Mammalia; Artiodactyla; Suidae
Description: lncRNA (ENSSSCG00065069569.1)
Source: RNAcentral
GCGGUCCCUCCUGAAAGGCCACGGUUCCUUGGGCGGGUGGCGACCCCCACGUGGCAUGGACGCCUGGGUGCCUGUGUGCUCAGCCUGGCCCCUUGGUGUCUCUACACGUUUCUACACAUACUGAUCCCAGAGUUGUAGGGUGGUUUGCUAUGCUUUUUUAAAAAAAGAAAAUCAGGCCCUUGUCUGAUUGUUUAAUGACGCUGCUUGUUUCAUCUAAAUUUUAACACUGAACCUAGAUCUAGCUGAAAUCGAAGAACCACGUCCGUCAGCAAUCUGGAGAAGAAGAAUUCACAUUUAAAGUUUGGAAAGUGGCAGAAAAAAAAGCCACAUCAUUUCCUAAGAAGCAGGGCCUCAGAGGACCUGAAUGAAGCCCCAGUAGAUUCUGGGCCAGCCGAGCAAGGCCUUGGGUUCUGGCAGGGCAGAAGCCGGUGUCUGAAUAUCCUGACCAGCCAAGGGGAG